AGCUUGAUGAAUUCAUAUUAGGUGAGCUCUGCUCAAUGAUUAAUUAAAUAGCCGCGGUACUUUGACCGUGCAAAGGUAGCAUAAUAAAUUGGCUUUUAAUUGAAGUCUAGAAUGAACGAGUAUAUGGGUAUUAACUGUUUCACUAAAAUUACUUCUAACUUACUUAUUAAGUGAAAAUACUUAAAAAUUAAAUAAAAGACGAGAAGACCCUAGAAGUUUUUAUUAGAAAUCUUUUUACAUUUUUGUUGGGGCAACAUAGUUACAAUAUAAACUAACUUGAAUAUUUGUUUGUAUGUGAAGAAUAUAUUAAGAACAUUUAAGCUACUCUAGGGAUAACAGCAUAAUUUUUGAAAAAGCUUGUGACCUCGAUGUUGGAUUAAGGAUAAUUUAGGUUAGAAGUUUAAAUUAUAGGUUCUGUUCGAACUGUUUUUUCUUUACAUG
RNAcentral lists this ribosomal RNA (441 nucleotides) under Caracolus sagemon. Its description in RNAcentral is "partial 16S ribosomal RNA". The stretch from base 1 to 184 matches the Rfam family "Archaeal large subunit ribosomal RNA", at positions 1908 to 2143 of the family's 2987-position model. The record is from RNAcentral. Lineage: Eukaryota; Metazoa; Mollusca; Gastropoda; Stylommatophora; Solaropsidae.